Long non-coding RNA from Cotesia glomerata, 1160 nucleotides. RefSeq lists it as uncharacterized. Lineage: Eukaryota; Metazoa; Arthropoda; Insecta; Hymenoptera; Braconidae. The record is from RefSeq and is a predicted model, not a curated record. The transcript has 3 exons.
UAUCAGUGUCGUAUUAUUUAAAUCUAAAUAUAUAGUUAAUGAAGAUAAUAUUUAUAACGCAAGAGCAGAUACUAAAAUGAUUCUCAGCAGACCGUCGAGGUCAAAGUGAACAUACUUCAGUGUUACACCAGUGACGUCAGUGUGUCACGGCUCGCCGACCACGAAUCGUUAUUCGUUAUUAGCAUUACACAUCGCUCAACGUACAGGUCUCAGCCUCAUCUUUUUUUUUUUUUUAAAUAAUAAUAAUAAAAGACAAUAAAAAUUUUUUGAUAAUAAAUUACCAAAAAUAGAAUUAUUUUUAUAAAAUGAUAUUUAAUUUUUGUAUAAAAGUGAAGAACAAUGGCCAGUAGCAGUAAUAACAAAUAGCAAAGUGAUGAGGAUGUUAAAUGUUAAAUGUUGGGUUGAUAUUAGUGACUAGGAGUCGUUCCGAGAGACCUUGCGUAGGUGUCAGCCAGGCGUGGUGAAGAUAUGCCACAGGCGGGACAUGCCUCAGGACAAACAAAGAGAUCAUUUUACUGGAGAUAAUUGUUAAGAGAAAAGAGAGAAAAUAAUUGCGGAAGGAGAAUCUCAAGUGGAUUGGAUAGAACUAACUCCUCCCGCGGAAUCUCCUUCCAAUCUAAUACAAGCUGACGCUACCUUCACCUUCCCCACCGUUAUUGCUAAGUAACUUUGACCCGCCGUGGGCUCGAACACGAUUCUACGUGAUGCUACAACACUUCUGGGAGUUUUUAAAAUUACAAAUCUUGGAAUUAUCUCGCGGCCAGAUCAGCCCCAAAGCUGUGAAAGUUAUUUGCAUAAGCGGAAGAGGAGCGAAUUUAAACAAAAAAUAUAAUCCGAGCAAUUAUGAUUAUAAAAAUUGUUAUUUAAGAGACUUUUUAAACGAAAUGAAAACAUUGAGGAAGCAAUUGCUGUUCUGAUAAGAUUAUAGUUCUCCAGACGGUCUUUACGAGGGGAGAUUCGAUUUUGCGAGGCAUAUUGGGUGAAAAAACUUUUAGAAUGUUGUCCGAGAAUGAAAUUAUGUAGGGUUGAUGGACUUUUAUUCGACUUCCGAUCGCGAAUCACGGAAGUCCCUUCCUUUAGUAAAUUCAAUAGAGAUCAGGAGACGGAAAAAUAAUCAAUUGUAUCAAUUUUUUGUCUAUAUUUUUGUAAAAAAUAUUUUU